Non-coding RNA from Acanthosepion pharaonis, 99 nucleotides. The record is from the annotation of a GenBank genome assembly. NCBI's taxonomy places the organism in Eukaryota, Metazoa, Mollusca, Cephalopoda, Sepiida, Sepiidae.
GUUGAAACACUGGUUCCUGUAUGAUCACUGAAGUUAAGCAACAUUGAGCAUGGGCAGUACCCAUAUAGGUGACUGCUUGGGAGUACUCGGUGUUGUAAG